CCUACGGGAGGCAGCAGUGAGGAAUAUUGGACAAUGGGUGAGAGCCUGAUCCAGCCAUCCCGCGUGGAGGACGACGGCCCUAUGGGUUGUAAACUUCUUUUGUACAGGGAUAAACCUAUUUACGUGUAAAUAGCUGAAGGUACUGUACGAAUAAGCACCGGCUAACUCCGUGCCAGCAGCCGCGGUAAU
Molecule: ribosomal RNA, 189 nt
Filed under: uncultured archaeon
Lineage: Archaea
Description: partial 16S ribosomal RNA
Rfam family: Bacterial small subunit ribosomal RNA
Source: RNAcentral